GAUGAACGCUGGCGGCGUGCUUAACACAUGCAAGUCGAACGAAGCAUUUGCGACAGAUUUUUUCGGAAUGAAGUUGCUUAUGACUGAGUGGCGGACGGGUGAGUAACGCGUGGGUAACCUGCCUUGUACUGGGGGAUAGCAGCUGGAAACGGCUGGUAAUACCGCAUAAGCGCACAAUGUUGCAUGACAUGGUGUGAAAAACUCCGGUGGUAUAAGAUGGACCCGCGUCUGAUUAGCUAGUUGGUGAGAUAACAGCCCACCAAGGCGACGAUCAGUAGCCGACCGGAGAGGGUGACCGGCCACAUUGGGACUGAGACACGGCCCAGACUCCUACGGGAGGCAGCAGUGGGGAAUAUUGCACAAUGGAGGAAACUCUGAUGCAGCGACGCCGCGUGAGUGAAGAAGUAAUUCGUUAUGUAAAGCUCUAUCAGCAGGGAAGAUAGUGACGGUACCUGACUAAGAAGCGCCGGCUAAAUACGUG
This 481-nucleotide ribosomal RNA is filed under the name uncultured bacterium. Its description in RNAcentral is "partial 16S ribosomal RNA". It matches the Rfam family "Bacterial small subunit ribosomal RNA", at positions 28 to 507 of the family's 1533-position model. The record is from RNAcentral.